CCAUACCCCUUCCGUCGUCUCUUCCAUUUGCCCUACCAACAAACUAUAAUUCUGCUGCCACCAAACCCCACCACCCUAGGGUGGCGGUACCACUUCCAAUCACCGCCAAAUUUACACCCCCUAUUCUCCUCGAUCUCGUCUUUCCAUUUUCGCUAACAGUUUCCUUCGAAUCAAACUCAAAUGCUUCGAAUAUGCAUUUGAAGCUUGGGUCCAAAAUACAAAAUCAUCCAAAUAAGCCUAAGGUGACACCAUGCAGUCCCCUCGUCUUCCCCUUUACCAAUUUGCGGUCAGUUUCCGUCGAAGUUCACCAAGCUGUCUCGGAGUUUAAAUCUAGGGUUCACGCGGAUUCGAAUGGGUUUUCGGGAAUGUUUCAGGGUUGAUUGGUUUCCAUAAUUAGUAUCUUAGUAUAGUUUAUUUAAUAUUUUUCUUCGUUGUUGUUCCAUCUGUUUCAACCAGUAAAUUCGUACGUCCAGUUUUCUCAUGUGUUGUUUCUUUCGUUUUCAUGAGUGCUUAAUGGUGUUUUAUUAAUCCCACUCUAGUCCUCUAUUCUUUUGUGUUAUAUGUUUAGUUUAAUCAUGAUAUAAUUGUUCUUCACUUUUAGUUUGCUAAUGAUAAUUCAGUUUUAAUGUGUUUGUUGAUAAUUGGUCGUUAGUUAAUUGGGUUUUUCUUUGUUCUGUGGAUUUAAAAUUUGAUUUGAUUUCAUUUUAUCAGUUUGUUAAUUGUUCAGUUGCUUUUAGUGUUAAUUAGGAUAAUGUUAAUACAGGUGCAUUGGAUAUAGCUGAGAAGGUUUUAUAAAAUUAAGUAGUUAACUCUAGUCAAAUUCUAGCUAGGGUGAGGGGAUUAGGAUCAGCUAACCUUGGGCUGUAAUUUUCAGAUCAUUGGAGGGGCUUCCUAGGGAUAGAAAAGGGUAGAAUCUUAAGGAUUUGUAAUUUUAAAAACAGGGGAGGGGUAAUUUAGGGAUUGCUUAGCCAAAAGAGCAUCUUAGAUGAUUCUAGAAUAGGGUAAAAGUGUAGCUUUCAGAUUUUUAAUAGUACUUACUUGGGUAGCAAGUUAGAAAUGGUGGGACCAAAAUGAAAAUAAGUAGGGGCUGAUAGUGCAAACUAAAAUCUGAGUGCUGCCCUUAUUUUCCCCUAUAUAAGGGAAUUAAGUGCCUUGAGAAAGGGGUCUUCAAUCUUUAGCCCUAAAAAUUCACAUAGAAGCAUCUUUUCUCUUCAUUCUUAGCUUCAGUUUUUAGCCCUAAAAACUCCCAUAGAAAAUCAUUUUCCUUUAAUCUUAGCUUCAGAUUUAGCUCCAAAUUCAAAUCAAAAGUACAAAAAAAAGCAGAUAUCUCCAGAAAAACUAAAAAAUGAAGUAUCUACUGUUUUAUUGAAGUUUUCACUCAGUCAUUGGGUUUUUGUCCUUCAAAUUCUGUUUCACAUGCUUGAGUUCUAAAGAUAUUAGCCUGUUUCAAGUGGUUGGGUUUGCUCCUGCUGGUUUUGUGUCUUUUUCGUUGGAUUGUAAAGUUUCUGGGUUAAUAAUUUGAAUUCCUGGGCAUUACUAUCGCUGCUGAUUCAUUGGAGUGUAGUUGUUUCUAUUUCCUCAUCCUGUUGCUCUAUAACUGCUGUUGAUUCUCCUUUCUGUUAAAUUUCGUUUCCACGUACUAUUUUGAACCCAAUAUCAUGUAGUUGUGGGCAGGAAGCUGAAAUAAGAAGGGUCCUGAAUUUUAUGUGACUUAAAAUUUUUACUGUUGAUUGUUUCAUAGCUAUAUUAGUGUUGUAGUUUCAAUUGGCCUUAUAUGAACUUAUUUGUAGUGGUAUGGUUAUAAAAUCAGGAUGUUAAUGCCUUGCUAAGAAUUGGUUUGGACUGAAAUUAUUAUCGAGUAAUAGGGAUUGUAUUAACUGAACAUCUCUUUUGGUUUGUUUAAGCUUGAACUGUACAACUUUCAUGUGAACUUUUGUGCUUACUAUGGUUAGAUAAGGAUGGUAAAUCAUCAUGGUAAUCUAGUUUUCUCCUUGCUCAAUAGCUAGUUGCAAUAAGCAGGUGUUUUAGGAUGUAAUAUAGUCUGAUUCUCGAUCCCUUGUACCUAAUAACAGCUUUGUACUAGUUAAUUUCACACUCUUGAAUCACAAGCAUUUUGGUUUGAAAUCGGUAGCUGCGUGAAUUGUUUACUAAUGUGGAGUUGUUUGAUUUGGGUUAAUUAUUGGCAAAGGAUAACAUAAUUAGGGUGGCUGGUUUGUUCUCGUUGAAGUAAAAUUGAAUUGGACUAUCUGCCUUGUUGAUAUCAUU
This 2265-nucleotide long non-coding RNA is filed under the name Nicotiana benthamiana. RNAcentral's name for it is "long non-coding RNA (NBEN_LNC018436)". Lineage: Eukaryota; Viridiplantae; Streptophyta; Magnoliopsida; Solanales; Solanaceae. The record is from RNAcentral.